RNAcentral lists this ribosomal RNA (348 nucleotides) under uncultured bacterium. RNAcentral describes it as "bacterial SSU rRNA". It matches the Rfam family "Bacterial small subunit ribosomal RNA", at positions 8 to 350 of the family's 1533-position model. The record is from RNAcentral.
AGAGUUUGAUCAUGGCUCAGGAUGAACGCUAGCUACAGGCUUAACACAUGCAAGUCGAGGGGCAGCAUGUUGGUUGCUUGCAGCCAACGAUGGCGACCGGCGCACGGGUGAGUAACGCGUAUCCAACCUACCCUUGUCCAUCGGAUAACCCGUCGAAAGGCGGCCUAACACGAUAUGCGGUUCACAGCAGGCAUCUAACGUGAACGAAAUGUAAAGGAGAAGGAUGGGGAUGCGUCUGAUUAGCUUGUUGGCGGGGUAACGCCACCAAGGCUACGAUCGAGUAGGGGUUCUGAGAGGAAGGUCCCCACAUUGGAACUGAGACACGGUCCAAACGUCCUACGGGAGGCA